RNAcentral lists this ribosomal RNA (440 nucleotides) under uncultured bacterium. Its description in RNAcentral is "partial 16S ribosomal RNA". It matches the Rfam family "Bacterial small subunit ribosomal RNA", at positions 338 to 795 of the family's 1533-position model. The record is from RNAcentral.
CCUACGGGAGGCAGCAGUGGGGAAUAUUGCACAAUGGGGGAAACCCUGAUGCAGCGACGCCGCGUGUGUGAAGAAGUAAUUCGUUAUGUAAAGCUCUAUCAGCAGGGAAGAAAAUGACGGUACCUGACUAAGAAGCCCCGGCUCACUACGUUCCAGCAGCCGCGGUAAUACGUAGGGGGCAAGCGUUUUCCGGAUUUACUGGGUGUAAAGGGAGCGUAGACGGGUGUGCAAGUCUGAAGUGAAAGCGCGCGGCUCAACUGCGGAACGGCUUUGGAAACUGGGUAACUGGAGUGUGUGAGAGGAUAGUGGAAUUCCAGGUGUAGGAGUGAAAUCCGUAGAUAUCUGGAGGAACAUCAGUGGCGAAGGCGACUAUCUGGCACAUAACUGACGCUGAGGAGCGAAAGCGUGGGUAGCAAACAGGAUUAGAUACCCCUGUAGUC